This 372-nucleotide ribosomal RNA is filed under the name uncultured organism. Its description in RNAcentral is "bacterial SSU rRNA". It matches the Rfam family "Bacterial small subunit ribosomal RNA", at positions 526 to 896 of the family's 1533-position model. The record is from RNAcentral.
CGUAGGAGGCGAGCGUUAUCCGGAUUCACUGGGCGUAAAGCGCGUGCAGGUGGUUCGGUAAGUUGGGCGUGAAAUCUCCCGGCUCAACUGGGAGAGGUCGUUCAAUCCUACCGAACUUGAGAGCAGAAGAGGAAGAUGGAAUUCCCGGUGUAGUGGUGAAAUGCGUAGAUAUCGGGAGGAACACCAGUGGCGAAGGCGAUCUUCUGGUCUGUUUCUGACACUCAGACGCGACAGCUAGGGUAGUAAACGGGAUUAGAGACCCCGGUAAUCCUAGCCGUAAACGAUGUGAACUUGGCGUUGGUGGGUUAAACUCCAUCAGUGCCGAAGCAAACGCGAUAAGUUCACCGCCUGGGGACUACGGCCGCAAGGUUA